GACGGAGGAUGCAAGCGUUAUCCGGAAUGAUUGGGCGUAAAGCGUCCGCAGGUGGCAGUUCAAGUCUGCUGUCAAAGACCGGGGCUCAACCUCGGAAAGGCAGUGGAAACUGAACAGCUAGAGUAUGGUAGGGGCAAAGGGAAUUCCCGGUGUAGCGGUGAAAUGCGUAGAGAUCGGGAAGAACAUCGGUGGCGAAGGCGCUCUACUGGACCACAACUGACACUCAGGGACGAAAGCUAGGGGAGCGAAUGGG
This 253-nucleotide ribosomal RNA is filed under the name uncultured bacterium. RNAcentral describes it as "partial 16S ribosomal RNA". It matches the Rfam family "Bacterial small subunit ribosomal RNA", at positions 524 to 776 of the family's 1533-position model. The record is from RNAcentral.